This 166-nucleotide ribosomal RNA is filed under the name Lithocarpus ruminatus. Its description in RNAcentral is "5.8S ribosomal RNA". It matches the Rfam family "5.8S ribosomal RNA". Rfam says of the family: 5.8S ribosomal RNA (5.8S rRNA) is a component of the large subunit of the eukaryotic ribosome. It is transcribed by RNA polymerase I as part of the 45S precursor that also contains 18S and 28S rRNA. Lineage: Eukaryota; Viridiplantae; Streptophyta; Magnoliopsida; Fagales; Fagaceae. The record is from RNAcentral.
CUCUCGGCAACGGAUAUCUAGGCUCUCGCAUCGAUGAAGAACGUAGCGAAAUGCGAUACUUGGUGUGAAUUGCAGAAUCCCGCGAAUCAUCGAGCUUUUGAACGCAAGUUGCGCCCGAAGCCACUCGGCCGAGGGCACGUCUGCCUGGGCGUCACGCACCGUUGCC